Molecule: ribosomal RNA, 479 nt
Filed under: uncultured bacterium
Lineage: Bacteria
Description: partial 16S ribosomal RNA
Rfam family: Bacterial small subunit ribosomal RNA
Source: RNAcentral
GAUGAACGCUAGCGGGAGGCCUAACACAUGCAAGCCGAGCGGUAGAGUUUCUUCGGAAACUUGAGAGCGGCGCACGGGUGCGUAACACGUGUGCAACCUACCUUUAUCUGGGGGAUAGCCUUUCGAAAGGAAGAUUAAUACCCCAUAAUAUAAUGAUUGGCAUCAAUUAUUAUUGAAAACUCCGGUGGAUAGAGAUGGGCACGCGCAAGAUUAGAUAGUUGGUGAGGUAACGGCUCACCAAGUCAAUGAUCUUUAGGGGUCCUGAGAGGGAGAUCCCCCACACUGGUACUGAGACACGGACCAGACUCCUACGGGAGGCAGCAGUGAGGAAUAUUGGACAAUGGGUGAGAGCCUGAUCCAGCCAUCCCGCGUGAAGGAUGACGGUCCUAUGGAUGGUAAACUUCUUUUGUACAGGGAUAAACCUACCCUCGUGAGGGUAGCUGAAGGUACUGUACGAAUAAGCACCGGCCAACUCCGUG